UUUUCAAAUCGUUUGCCAUGUUCUGUAAACCGUUCCGUUUUCGUUUUAUCGAACAUCAGCGAAUCGUUUUGUCGCCCUGUUUUGGUUAUCGGACUCGUUACAAACAAUUUUACCGUUUUGAUAUUAAUUCAAGUUACAAUUUUUGGGCGUAGUGACCGAUAAGUUAUUAAGAAAUUUGUAUCAUUGAAACCAGCGGUAAAGAGGUGCCCAACUUAUUCCAGAUAUUGUACUAUAUACAUAUACUUGUAUACUGCGUUUGAGACAUCAUAACACCUGACAUCAUGACACCUAAAAAAUCUGUUAAGUAAAAACCAUAAAAAGGAUUCAAUUAGCCUGAAAGCAGAGCAGUAUCACCGUAGAACGGACCCACAAAAUUGUUAACCGGAUAAUAAUUAUUUUAGAUAUUUCGGCUCCAAUUGCAUAAUUAUAUUGUAUUAUAAAUGAUUUUUGGAAAAAGCGCAGUUGGAUGUCCUAUGGGAACUUGUGAGGUGGGAGAUCAGUUCCGAAAAGUUAAUGUCUUGUUCGCUUUAAUAAGUGCAGGACUGAUCAAGGAAGCUGACGGAAGAAACAUUGCAGCUUACCGAUUUACGGCCAUAUCGAUCACUUAAUUGAGUCCAAAAUGAAGGGCUAAUGAUCAUUCCCAAAAAUACAAUGGUUGUCAUAAAUGCUUUUUGAGUCGGCCAUCCAACAAAGUCCAACAAAAAGUGAUAGUUUAACGUGAAACCAUCCAAAUCCUAAGAGAUUUACUGCCUGUUGAACGGUAAAUGGACGUAGAAGAUACCCACAGCUCUCCCAAGACUGUUAGGUCCGUAACUUCUGCGCCUAGAGCAUCUGGACCACCCAUCGCAGCACCAAGGAUGCAAAGAGCCAACAGUUUGAUUAGCAUCUGCUUCCACGAUGCAGUCUUUGCCAUCGACCUCACGUCCUGAAGAUGGGUGCACCAUCUUCAAGAGCAUGAAGCCCGCUCAACGCCAACAGAUCGCCAGAGCCCACGGACACAAAGCUCCACCUUUGACUGUAUAAUCGAAGGAUGGUGUCAAUAUUGCCAACGCAUUACACUUUAUUCCAUCGAUUCCCUCGACGAAGAAAUCCGUCCACAUCGCAGACCAGUCACCGGCACAGACAACAAGGGAAUCCCGUCCAGCGUCAAAGAGUAUCUGAUCCCGCGACAUUUUGCAACUAAGCACACAACCCACCAUACAACAUCAUACAACACAAUGCAACAUCAUACACCAACUACAACACAACCAUAUACAACUAACCAACCACACUAUACACCGACACUUCAAUCAUAAUCUUUUUCACCACCCAAAUAAACAAAAAGGAUUGUGCAGACCAGAAUGGUCUCUUUUUGUUUCUCGACACCCGUUCGUAAAGCGAAAACGUAGCAGCGCAGUUUGUACGGAAGUGCCCUAAAGUGAAUAUCCAAAUCAAGUGUAUUUAACAUUAAAAAAUUUAAAAAUAUUAUAUUGUAAUAUAUAAAAGAUAAAUUGUAUUUUAAUUAUAUUUGCUAACCGAAUUCUGAAAGAAUAAAAAAUAAAAGCAAACUGAGUAACCAAACAUAUACAUAUCUUCAUUUUGAGUGGCUGCUAUUUUAUAUGGCAUUUAUAUGUUACAUUGGUCCGAUCUGAACAAUAUGUUAAAAACAAGACAAUUUUUUUGUUCUGCCAAAAAUAAAGUUUAUUUAAAAAAAAGUGAAUAUACCAGAAAAAUAUAUAAAAACAGAAAUCCUUAUUUGCUUAUAUAAAUAUGAAAUGAAAUGCUCCAAAAUUUUAUAAAACGCAAAAAAUCAAUUUCGUAGCAAGAAUCAUUCAUUUGCAGAAAAGUCUACAGCUAUUAUAUUAAUCAGUUACUACUUGUUUGGGUCUCCUUUGCCUGUACAAUUGUCUCCAACCGAUUGUUCAUGGAAAAUACGAAAUUUUUUGUGGUUUCAACCGUUAUUUGAAUCCAAUCAUACACCAUUUUUUAGUUCCUAUUUACUCCUGUAUGCAGGAUUUUAAUUCAUCCCACAAAUUUUCUAUCGGUUUAAGUUCCGGUGAUUUAAGAGGCGAAUGGAGCUGUUUCGGUACAUUAUAAAGUAAACACGCCUUAACAAUAUGGGAUGUUGAUAAUACCAGGAAAUACCCAACUUGCUUGCAAAACCUUACUAAUUGCUUGUCUGAAAGUUCAAAUGAACACAGUUCAUUCGCCGGCAUGCAGCCUUAUAAUUGUCCUGAGCCACGGCCGUGUAGGGCAGUAAAUUGCCAGAAUCAACUAGACAGCGAAUUCGUAGUUGCCAGAAUGUUCUAGUGGCGAAGUUUUGUUAAGGGCUAAGGGCUGCCGAAUUCUGCAGCACGCACAUUUUUAUUGCAGUAUAACACAGGGGAAACACUCAUAAACGAAACUCUUAAUAGGGAUGUGACUCCAAAAUGAAGAAGAUUUUUGGGCCAACCGCAAAAAUAAAACGGUAUAGUGGGAGAAGGUGUUCUGUGAAAUCAAAGAUGUUUAUAGCUGGUUCCGUUUCAGUCGGGAUGACAUAACCCGGAAAUAUCUAAAUAUGAUGACAAAAUAUCUCAAAAACAACUCAUCCGGUGAAGCAGCUAACAGCUGGGGAUAUUAUGAAGAUUUCGACGAUGUGCAUGGUACGCAUCGUGACGUCGUGGUUCCUCCCAAUUUAUUGGAAUCCAGUUUAAAUGAGUCAUUAGAGAUGGUAUUGGAUGGCGAGAGUGGUAACCGAAAUUCUACUCUGCCUCCUAAGUCCAAGCGACCAAGAUGUGAAGUUUUGAAAAUGCUGCGAAAUGAACACCAUUAAUAUGAAAAAUGUUUGAAUAAAUUUUCGGAAAUUGAAAAAGAGUGAAGGCAAGUGGAAAAAGUUGGCAGAGAUGAUAAGGCUUCGCAAAGUUUUAAUGGCAGUGAGUCAAAAUUAAUAAUAAAAAUUUGCUAACAUAACAUUAUUUACCUCUGAUAUAAACUUUUAUUCAAUGCAAGUGAUCUCAGAAGUACAAAUAUUUAAAAGGAAUUUCUUAUUAUUAAUAUAGUAACAUACAUUUUAUGUAAUGUAAACCUUAAAUACUUUUAAAAUAAUAUAUUCAUGAAUAAAUUUGUAAUAAAGUUUUCAUUUUUAUACUCUUGCACCAUGUUGCCACAGUUAUUUGUAUCAUCCUAAAAUAAUCGAGUU
Molecule: long non-coding RNA, 3157 nt
Organism: Bactrocera oleae (olive fruit fly)
Lineage: Eukaryota; Metazoa; Arthropoda; Insecta; Diptera; Tephritidae
Source: RefSeq, a predicted model, not a curated record